AACGAACGCUGGCGGCAUGCCUAACACAUGCAAGUCGAACGAGACCUUCGGGUCUAGUGGCGCACGGGUGCGUAACGCGUGGGAAUCUGCCCUGGGUUCGGAAUAACUCGCCGAAAGGCGUGCUAAUACCGGAUGAUGUCGUAAGACCAAAGAUUUAUCGCCCAGGGAUGAGCCCGCGUAAGAUUAGCUAGUUGGUGAGGUAAAGGCUCACCAAGGCGACGAUCUUUAGCUGGUCUGAGAGGAUGAUCAGCCACACUGGGACUGAGACACGGCCCAGACUCCUACGGGAGGCAGCAGUGGGGAAUAUUGGACAAUGGGCGAAAGCCUGAUCCAGCAAUGCCGCGUGAGUGAUGAAGGCCUUAGGGUUGUAAAGCUCUUUUACCCGGGAAUGAUAAUGACAGUACCGGGGAGAAUAAGCUCCGGCUAACUCCGUGCCAGCAGCCGCGGUAAUACGGAGGGAGCUAGCGUUGUUCGGAAUUACUGGGCGUAAAGCGCACGUAGGGCGGCUUUGUAAGUCAGAGGUGAAAGCCUGGAGCUCAACUCCAGAACUGCCUUUGAGACUGCAUCGCUUGAAUCCAGGAGAGGUGAGUGGAAUUUCCCGAGUGUAGAGGUGAAAAUUCGUAGAUAUUCGGAAGAACACCANUGGCGAAGGGCGGCUCACUGGACUGGUAUUGACGCUGAGGUGCGAAAGCGUGGGGGAGCAAAACAGGA
This 711-nucleotide ribosomal RNA is filed under the name uncultured bacterium. RNAcentral's name for it is "bacterial SSU rRNA". It matches the Rfam family "Bacterial small subunit ribosomal RNA", at positions 28 to 777 of the family's 1533-position model. The record is from RNAcentral.